RNAcentral lists this ribosomal RNA (404 nucleotides) under Fusobacteriota bacterium. RNAcentral's name for it is "Fusobacteria bacterium partial 16S ribosomal RNA". It matches the Rfam family "Bacterial small subunit ribosomal RNA", at positions 355 to 776 of the family's 1533-position model. The record is from RNAcentral. Lineage: Bacteria; Fusobacteriati; Fusobacteriota.
UGGGGAAUAUUGCACAAUGGAGGGAACUCUGAUGCAGCGACGCCGCGUGAGUGAUGAAGGAAUUCGUUUCGUAAAACUCUGUUCUAUGGGAAGAAAAGGACUGUACCAUAGGAGAAAGCUCAGGCUAAAUACGUGCCAGCAGCCGCGGUAAUACGUAUGGAGCGAGCGUUGUCCGGAAUUAUUGGGCGUAAAGGGUGCGCAGGCGGCUUUACAAGUUGGAUGUGAAAUAUUGUGGCUCAACCACAAACGUGCAUCCAAAACUGCAAAUCUUGAGUUAAGGAGAGGUAAGUGGAAUUCCUGGUGUAGCGGUGGAAUGCGCAGAUAUCAGGAGGAACACCGGUGGCGAAGGCGGGUCUCUGGGCCGUUACUGACGCUGAGGAGCGAAAGCGUGGGGAGCGAACAGG